RNAcentral lists this ribosomal RNA (551 nucleotides) under Escherichia coli. RNAcentral describes it as "bacterial LSU rRNA". It matches the Rfam family "Bacterial large subunit ribosomal RNA", at positions 311 to 867 of the family's 2925-position model. Lineage: Bacteria; Pseudomonadati; Pseudomonadota; Gammaproteobacteria; Enterobacterales; Enterobacteriaceae. The record is from RNAcentral.
CCUGAAUCAGUGUGUGUGUUAGUGGAAGCGUCUGGAAAGGCGCGCGAUACAGGGUGACAGCCCCGUACACAAAAAUGCACAUGCUGUGAGCUCGAUGAGUAGGGCGGGACACGUGGUAUCCUGUCUGAAUAUGGGGGGACCAUCCUCCAAGGCUAAAUACUCCUGACUGACCGAUAGUGAACCAGUACCGUGAGGGAAAGGCGAAAAGAACCCCGGCGAGGGGAGUGAAAAAGAACCUGAAACCGUGUACGUACAAGCAGUGGGAGCACGCUUAGGCGUGUGACUGCGUACCUUUUGUAUAAUGGGUCAGCGACUUAUAUUCUGUAGCAAGGUUAACCGAAUAGGGGAGCCGAAGGGAAACCGAGUCUUAACUGGGCGUUAAGUUGCAGGGUAUAGACCCGAAACCCGGUGAUCUAGCCAUGGGCAGGUUGAAGGUUGGGUAACACUAACUGGAGGACCGAACCGACUAAUGUUGAAAAAUUAGCGGAUGACUUGUGGCUGGGGGUGAAAGGCCAAUCAAACCGGGAGAUAGCUGGUUCUCCCCGAAAGCU